AGACCCGAAACCCGGUGAUCUAGCCAUGGGCAGGUUGAAGGUUGGGUAACACUAACUGGAGGACCGAACCGACUAAUGUUGAAAAAUUAGCGGAUGACCUGUGGCUGGGGGUGAAAGGCCAAUCAAACCGGGAGAUAGCUGGUUCUCCCCGAAAGCUAUUUAGGUAGCGCCUCGUGAAUUCAUCUCCGGGGGUAGAGCACUGUUUCGGCUAGGGGGCCAUCCCGGCUUACCAACCCGAUGCAAACUGCGAAUACCGGAGAAUGUUAUCACGGGAGACACACGGCGGGUGCUAACGUCCGUCGUGAAGAGGGAAACAACCCAGACCGCCAGCUAAGGUCCCAAAGUCAUGGUUAAGUGGGAAACGAUGUGGGAAGGCCCAGACAGCCAGGAUGUUGGCUUAGAAGCAGCCAUCAUUUAAAGAAAGCGUAAUAGCUCACUGGUCGAGUCGGCCUGCGCGGAAGAUGUAACGGGGCUAAACCAUGCACCGAAGCUGCGGCAGCGAACGUAUCACCCAAGACAACUUUACGGAGUUGACGAUUGACGGAGCGAAGCGACGUCAAAGCGUUCAUUAAAGUCGAGUUGGCUUAGGGAUACGUUCGUUGGGUAGGGGAGCGUUCUGUAAGCCUGUGAAGGUGUGUCGUGAGGCAUGCUGGAGGUAUCAGAAGUGCGAAUGCUGACAUAAGUAACGAUAAAGCGGGUGAAAAGCCCGCUCGCCGGAAGACCAAGGGUUCCUGUCCAACGUUAAUCGGGGCAGGGUGAGUCGACCCCUAAGGCGAGGCCGAAAGGCGUAGUCGAUGGGAAACGGGUUAAUAUUCCCGUACUUGGUGUUACUGCGAAGGGGGGACGGAGAAGGCUAUGUUGGCCGGGCGACGGUUGUCCCGGUUUAAGCGUGUAGGUGUGUGUUCCAGGUAAAUCCGGUUCACUUUAACACUGAGGCGUGACGACGAGGCACUACGGUGCUGAAGCAACAAAUGCCCUGCUUCCAGGAAAAGCCUCUAAGCAUCAGGUAACACGAAAUCGUACCCCAAACCGACACAGGUGGUCAGGUAGAGAAUACCAAGGCGCUUGAGAGAACUCGGGUGAAGGAACUAGGCAAAAUGGUGCCGUAACUUCGGGAGAAGGCACGCUGACACGUAGGUGAAGUGAUUUACUCAUGGAGCUGAAGUCAGUCGAAGAUACCAGCUGGCUGCAACUGUUUAUUAAAAACACAGCACUGUGCAAACACGAAAGUGGACGUAUACGGUGUGACGCCUGCCCGGUGCCGGAAGGUUAAUUGAUGGGGUCAGCG
Molecule: ribosomal RNA, 1288 nt
Filed under: Salmonella enterica
Lineage: Bacteria; Pseudomonadati; Pseudomonadota; Gammaproteobacteria; Enterobacterales; Enterobacteriaceae
Also listed under: 5 other names
Description: bacterial LSU rRNA
Rfam family: Bacterial large subunit ribosomal RNA
Source: RNAcentral